CCGUCUGGUUGGAUGCCAAAUCUCUGUAAAGUUCCUUCGACGAGUCGAGUAGUUUGGGAAUGCUGCUCUAAAUGGGAGGUAUAUGUCUUCUAAAGCUAAAUAUUGGCCAGAGACCGAUAGCGCACAAGUAGAGUGAUCGAAAGAUGAAAAGCACUUUGAAAAGAGAGUUAAAAAGUACGUGAAAUUGUUGAAAGGGAAGCGUUUAUGACCAGACUUGGACUUGGUUAAUCAUCUGGGGUUCUCCCCAGUGCACUUUUCCAGUUCAGGCCAGCAUCAGUUUUCGCCGGGGGAUAAAGGCUUCGGGAAUGUAGCUCUCUUCGGGGAGUGUUAUAGCCCCGUUGUGUAAUACCCUGGCGGAGACUGAGGUUCGCGCUUCUGCAAGGAUGCUGGCGUAAUGGUCAUCAACGACCCGUCUUGAAACACGGACCAAGGAGUCGUCUUCGUAUGCGAGUGUUCGGGUGUCAAACCCCUACGCGUAAUGAAAGUGAACGCAGGUGAGAGCUUCGGCGCAUCAUCGACCGAUCCUGAUGUUCUCGGAUGGAUUUGAGUAAGAGCAUACGGGGCCGGACCCGAAAGAAGGUGAACUAUGCCUGUAUAGGGUGAAGCCAGAGGAAAC
This 616-nucleotide ribosomal RNA is filed under the name Fusarium sinense. RNAcentral describes it as "LSU rRNA". It matches the Rfam family "Eukaryotic large subunit ribosomal RNA", at positions 221 to 862 of the family's 3401-position model. Lineage: Eukaryota; Fungi; Ascomycota; Sordariomycetes; Hypocreales; Nectriaceae. The record is from RNAcentral.